GUCUCCGGCCGUGUGACACUCCGGGCUAAGUACUAGCGCCGUAGGAGUGGGGUUUUCGGCUACUCCUGCAGCCUUGGUGCUUACCCCGGGGGCGUCACGUUGCAGCGC
RNAcentral lists this microRNA precursor (108 nucleotides) under Ixodes scapularis (black-legged tick). RNAcentral's name for it is "microRNA mir-252". The stretch from base 18 to 92 matches the Rfam family "mir-252 microRNA precursor family". The record is from RNAcentral. Lineage: Eukaryota; Metazoa; Arthropoda; Arachnida; Ixodida; Ixodidae.